Molecule: long non-coding RNA, 393 nt
Filed under: Coffea arabica (coffee)
Lineage: Eukaryota; Viridiplantae; Streptophyta; Magnoliopsida; Gentianales; Rubiaceae
Description: long non-coding RNA (CARA_LNC000666)
Source: RNAcentral
GAAUGCUUCCUUGAGCUCCUCCUCAGAAUCGGUGUCCUUCAUCUUGCGAGCCAUCAGGUUGAGGAACUCUGGAAAGUCAAUGGUACCAUUUCCAUCAGCAUCAACUUCAUUGAUCAUAUCCUGGAGCUCAGCCUCGGUUGGGUUUUGUCCCAAUGACCUCAUAACUGUCCCCAGCUCCUUGGUGGUAAUGCAACCUGAAGCAAUAAUUGACCUUGAUCCAUUAAUUCAUACUCCCAAUACAGAGACAUAAACUCAACCAACAUAAUACAGCCACAAAUAUCACAUAAGAGAGGAAAAGGAAUAGGUAUAUGAAGCAAUUAUGCAAUGGCUAGGGGGGAAAAAACCACUGAUUCCAUCCAGUAUUCUAGCAAGAAUCUUGAUUCUACUAAACUC